RNAcentral lists this ribosomal RNA (2922 nucleotides) under Klebsiella pneumoniae. RNAcentral describes it as "bacterial LSU rRNA". It matches the Rfam family "Bacterial large subunit ribosomal RNA". Lineage: Bacteria; Pseudomonadati; Pseudomonadota; Gammaproteobacteria; Enterobacterales; Enterobacteriaceae. The record is from RNAcentral.
GGUUAAGCGACUAAGCGUACACGGUGGAUGCCCUGGCAGUCAGAGGCGAUGAAGGACGUGCUAAUCUGCGAAAAGCGUCGGUAAGGUGAUAUGAACCGUUACAGCCGGCGAUGUCCGAAUGGGGAAACCCAGUGCAAUUCGUUGCACUAUCGUUAACUGAAUACAUAGGUUAACGAGGCGAACCGGGGGAACUGAAACAUCUAAGUACCCCGAGGAAAAGAAAUCAACCGAGAUUCCCCCAGUAGCGGCGAGCGAACGGGGAGCAGCCCAGAGUCUGAAUCAGCUUGUGUGUUAGUGGAACGGUCUGGAAAGUCCGACGGUACAGGGUGAUAGUCCCGUACACCAAAAUGCACAGGUUGUGAACUCGAAGAGUAGGGCGGGACACGUGGUAUCCUGUCUGAAUAUGGGGGGACCAUCCUCCAAGGCUAAAUACUCCUGACUGACCGAUAGUGAACCAGUACCGUGAGGGAAAGGCGAAAAGAACCCCGGCGAGGGGAGUGAAAAAGAACCUGAAACCGUGUACGUACAAGCAGUGGGAGCACCUUCGGGUGUGACUGCGUACCUUUUGUAUAAUGGGUCAGCGACUUAUAUUCUGUAGCAAGGUUAACCGUAUAGGGGAGCCGCAGGGAAACCGAGUCUUAACUGGGCGUUAAGUUGCAGGGUAUAGACCCGAAACCCGGUGAUCUAGCCAUGGGCAGGUUGAAGGUUGGGUAACACUAACUGGAGGACCGAACCGACUAAUGUUGAAAAAUUAGCGGAUGACUUGUGGCUGGGGGUGAAAGGCCAAUCAAACCGGGAGAUAGCUGGUUCUCCCCGAAAGCUAUUUAGGUAGCGCCUCGUGAACUCAUCUUCGGGGGUAGAGCACUGUUUCGGCUAGGGGGUCAUCCCGACUUACCAACCCGAUGCAAACUACGAAUACCGAAGAAUGUUAUCACGGGAGACACACGGCGGGUGCUAACGUCCGUCGUGAAGAGGGAAACAACCCAGACCGCCAGCUAAGGUCCCAAAGUCAUGGUUAAGUGGGAAACGAUGUGGGAAGGCACAGACAGCCAGGAUGUUGGCUUAGAAGCAGCCAUCAUUUAAAGAAAGCGUAAUAGCUCACUGGUCGAGUCGGCCUGCGCGGAAGAUGUAACGGGGCUAAACCAUGCACCGAAGCUGCGGCAGCGACACUAUGUGUUGUUGGGUAGGGGAGCGUUCUGUAAGCCUGCGAAGGUGUGCUGUGAGGCAUGCUGGAGGUAUCAGAAGUGCGAAUGCUGACAUAAGUAACGAUAAAGCGGGUGAAAAGCCCGCUCGCCGGAAGACCAAGGGUUCCUGUCCAACGUUAAUCGGGGCAGGGUGAGUCGACCCCUAAGGCGAGGCCGAAAGGCGUAGUCGAUGGGAAACAGGUUAAUAUUCCUGUACUUGGUGUUACUGCGAAGGGGGGACGGAGAAGGCUAUGUUAGCCGGGCGACGGUUGUCCCGGUUUAAGCAUGUAGGCUGGUUGUCCAGGCAAAUCCGGAUAAUCAAGGCUGAGGUGUGAUGACGAGGCACUACGGUGCUGAAGUAACAAAUGCCCUGCUUCCAGGAAAAGCCUCUAAGCAUCAGGUAACAUUAAAUCGUACCCCAAACCGACACAGGUGGUCAGGUAGAGAAUACCAAGGCGCUUGAGAGAACUCGGGUGAAGGAACUAGGCAAAAUGGUGCCGUAACUUCGGGAGAAGGCACGCUGGUGUGUAGGUGAAGUCCCUGCGGAUGGAGCUGAGACCAGUCGAAGAUACCAGCUGGCUGCAACUGUUUAUUAAAAACACAGCACUGUGCAAACACGAAAGUGGACGUAUACGGUGUGACGCCUGCCCGGUGCCGGAAGGUUAAUUGAUGGGGUUAUCCGUAAGGAGAAGCUCUUGAUCGAAGCCCCGGUAAACGGCGGCCGUAACUAUAACGGUCCUAAGGUAGCGAAAUUCCUUGUCGGGUAAGUUCCGACCUGCACGAAUGGCGUAAUGAUGGCCAGGCUGUCUCCACCCGAGACUCAGUGAAAUUGAACUCGCUGUGAAGAUGCAGUGUACCCGCGGCAAGACGGAAAGACCCCGUGAACCUUUACUAUAGCUUGACACUGAACAUUGAGCCUUGAUGUGUAGGAUAGGUGGGAGGCUUUGAAGCGUGGACGCCAGUCUGCGUGGAGCCAACCUUGAAAUACCACCCUUUAAUGUUUGAUGUUCUAACGUUGGCCCCUUACCGGGGUUGCGGACAGUGUCUGGUGGGUAGUUUGACUGGGGCGGUCUCCUCCCAAAGCGUAACGGAGGAGCACGAAGGUUAGCUAAUCCUGGUCGGACAUCAGGAGGUUAGUGCAAUGGCAUAAGCUAGCUUGACUGCGAGCGUGACGGCGCGAGCAGGUGCGAAAGCAGGUCAUAGUGAUCCGGUGGUUCUGAAUGGAAGGGCCAUCGCUCAACGGAUAAAAGGUACUCCGGGGAUAACAGGCUGAUACCGCCCAAGAGUUCAUAUCGACGGCGGUGUUUGGCACCUCGAUGUCGGCUCAUCACAUCCUGGGGCUGAAGUAGGUCCCAAGGGUAUGGCUGUUCGCCAUUUAAAGUGGUACGCGAGCUGGGUUUAGAACGUCGUGAGACAGUUCGGUCCCUAUCUGCCGUGGGCGCUGGAGAAUUGAGGGGGGCUGCUCCUAGUACGAGAGGACCGGAGUGGACGCAUCACUGGUGUUCGGGUUGUCAUGCCAAUGGCACUGCCCGGUAGCUAAAUGCGGAAGAGAUAAGUGCUGAAAGCAUCUAAGCACGAAACUUGCCCCGAGAUGAGUUCUCCCUGAGACUUUAAGUCUCCUGAAGGAACGUUGAAGACGACGACGUUGAUAGGCCGGGUGUGUAAGCGCAGCGAUGCGUUGAGCUAACCGGUACUAAUGAACCGUGAGGCUUAACCUUACAACGCCGAAGAUGUUUUG